GCUUGUCUCAAAGAUUAAGCCAUGCAUGUCUAAGUAUAAACAAUUCUAUACUGUGAAACUGCGAAUGGCUCAUUAAAUCAGUUAUAGUUUAUUUGAUAAUAUCUACUACUUGGAUAACCGUGGUAAUUCUAGAGCUAAUACAUGCGUAAAAACCCGACUUCGGAAGGGUUGUAUUUAUUAGAUACAAAACCAACGCAGGGCUUGCCCUGGUUUUUGGUGAUUCAUAAUAACUCCUCGAAUCGCAUGGCCUUGCGCCGGCGAUGUUUCAUUCAAAUUUCUGCCCUAUCAAUUUGAUGGUAGGAUAGAGGCCUACCAUGGUGGUAACGGGUGACGGAGAAUUAGGGUUCGAUUCCGGAGAGGGAGCCUGAGAAACGGCUACCACAUCCAAGGAAGGCAGCAGG
RNAcentral lists this ribosomal RNA (401 nucleotides) under uncultured Rhizophydiales. Its description in RNAcentral is "partial small subunit ribosomal RNA". It matches the Rfam family "Eukaryotic small subunit ribosomal RNA", at positions 30 to 432 of the family's 1831-position model. The record is from RNAcentral. Lineage: Eukaryota; Fungi; Chytridiomycota; Chytridiomycetes; Rhizophydiales.